UAUUAACACACGAGGACCUCAAGUUA
This 26-nucleotide non-coding RNA is filed under the name Mus musculus (house mouse). Lineage: Eukaryota; Metazoa; Chordata; Mammalia; Rodentia; Muridae. The record is from RNAcentral.